RNAcentral lists this unclassified non-coding RNA (517 nucleotides) under Hevea brasiliensis (rubber tree). Lineage: Eukaryota; Viridiplantae; Streptophyta; Magnoliopsida; Malpighiales; Euphorbiaceae. The record is from RNAcentral.
AAUUUUGAUCAUCUUAUAAUAAGAAACUAAACAUCGUUAUUAUUGAAGAUACCUAAUCUCAUCGUACUGCUAUGAUUUCAAAGGAUACUUGAUCAAGUUGGACUCCCAAACUGGUACACAUUGAGCAAUCGCUGCAUCGCCCUCUAUUUACCACAUCCGAUAUUUGAUCAGUUUCAAUUGAACAUUUCAGGGGUUACACGGUCAAUACCAACUAAACUCAACUAGACACACAGCAAUGACCGUAUUACUCUCCAUAAUCCCAUUCAAAACUUAAUCAAAAGCUUCCAACGAACAUAAUAGCCUUCAGGUAUACGUUCACCUUCACUUACAAAACUAUCAAUUCCAUAGCACAAAAUUCAAGGAGUAAAUACUUUUUUCUUUUUUUUAAGUAACCGAUGCACUAUUUUUUAGUGCAUUGCCCAUUUCAACGUAACCAUCAGACCCUUCGAAAAAUAAUUUUGUAUUAAUUCCUCUCAAAGAACACAAUAAAAAUGAAAAAUCCACCAUUAUUAUAGCA